Molecule: regulatory RNA element, 118 nt
Organism: Lactobacillus sp.
Lineage: Bacteria; Bacillati; Bacillota; Bacilli; Lactobacillales; Lactobacillaceae
Rfam family: Ribosomal protein L10 leader
About the family: This family is a putative r-protein leader autoregulatory structure found in B. subtilis and other low-GC Gram-positive bacteria. It is located in the 5' untranslated regions of mRNAs encoding ribosomal proteins L10 and L12 (rplJ-rplL).
Source: Rfam
UACAAUAGUUGAUUUCUACCGAAGACUCAGGUGAUGUGAAUCUUAAUAUCCUGCCGAGGCCAGAAGAUUGUUAAUUAAUCUCUGUGUCUUUCGGGCGCAGAGAUUUUAUUUUAGCCGA